UAAAGAACUUAAUAAUUAAAACUUUAAAUUUUAAAUUUGAAUCUUUAUUAUUUUAUAAUUCUAGCUAAGUUUAUUUAUUAAAAAAAUUUAAAAUAAAUGAAAUAGAUAGCAUAUUAUUUUUCUCUCAAAAAGGAAAAAUUGAAUCAUUUGAUUUCAAUUUCUUUUCGUCAAUUCAUUUUAAAGAUUUUGUCGAACUUAAUAUACGAACAUUAUGUCUAUACGUUUUAAAAAAAUUAGCUGCCUCCUUUUUAAUAACUUGAGCUUUUAAAUUAAUGAUUAGUGUGAACGAUACACAAAUAAUAAGCGACAUACACAA
Molecule: long non-coding RNA, 316 nt
Filed under: Ananas comosus (pineapple)
Lineage: Eukaryota; Viridiplantae; Streptophyta; Magnoliopsida; Poales; Bromeliaceae
Description: long non-coding RNA (ACOM_LNC031811)
Source: RNAcentral